AAACAAAGAAAAACUAGAAAGAAAGAAGCAAAAAAAAACAAAAACAGUGGAGAUACCAAUCUAUUUUUAUAGAGAUGGACAAUCGAGAGAAGAAAGAUCAAAUAAGCAGAGAAGAGAUUCUUAAGAAGAUAAUGGAAUCAUUGGGACCAGACGGUGUCGCUUCAAGAACUCUCCUCGUCGGUGAAGCUGGUAUAGGGAAGACAUGGCUUGCAAAAGAAGUAAGCAAACGUGUAACCCAAGAAAGAUCUUCUAAUUACAAUGUCCUUUGGUUGCAUCUGAACAAAAGGAUUGAAGACGUGAAGUCCCUUUACGAGAACUUAGCUGCUCAGUUAUCGAUAAUUUACGAGUUUGAAGAAGGCGAAGAACCUGAUGAGCUUGAUUACUCUUUAGAGAGCUUGAAAGAGAAGGUUACGCAUGUGAUGAGCAAUAACAAGAAGAAGAAUCUUCUAUUGAUUUUGGAUGAUGAAGGAAGUAUGACAACUGAAAACCAUGUAAUGGAAGACCUAAAUCUCCGGGAGUUUCUUAAUGAACACUCAACUCUUAAGCUUCUAAUCACAAGAAGAGACGAAAGAGAGGAGAAAGAAUCGAUAACGAUCAAAGUCACUCCGCUUACCGAAGACGAGUCACGAAACUUACUCCGCGGUUCUCAAAACUUACUUAAAAUGUUUACGAUCAACAAACCUAGUUUGAUGUCUUGCAUAUUGAGCAAGAGCAAGGGCUUACCAGCUGCGAUCGUUGUUUUAGCCAAGUCCUUACACAACAUCAAGUCAUUUUCUGCGAAACAGAGAAGGAUCAUUGAAGAACUGAUUCUAUCGUCCGAGUCAUUAGACGCAGCUGCUGCUUCAAAGAACGCUAUAGAACGCAACCGCUACAAUCCCGUUUUGCGAUUGAGUUACGAGCUGUUAAAGCUUGAGGAGACGAGCACACGUCCAGUCAUUGCUUGCUUUUGGCAUAUCUUGGACUUCUACAAGUACUCUGGAUGCGCUUACUACCGCGACCUAAUCGUGCACUGGAUGCUUGAAGGGUAUUUUGAUCCAGUUAAGUCGGUUGAAAAAGCUUACCAGGAAGGACAUUCCAUUUUGAUGGAGUUUAUGAAUAGAGGAAUCUUGAAGAUACAAGAAGACAACAUGGUGGUUCCAGAGUUUUCUAUGAGCAAUCUAUUAGACCUUCAAGAUUGUGGAUUCUUUGGAAGAUCUUGUCUUGGAUUCGACAGAGUUUACGGAGGAGACAAGAGAAAAGGUCUUGGAAAAAUCAUCUUAAUCGAUGAUAUGAUACAAACAAUUCAAUCUAAGCAGAAGAACAUCACGACGAUUAUCGCUUGCGGAAAUCGUUUACGUAGAGAAGUUUCCGGAAAGUUCUUUGAGAGACCAGAGAUGCAAGAUCUUGAAGUUGUUGUACUCUUUGAGCCAACGUUCCAAGAUCUUGUUUUGUCUUUAUCUAAGCUUAAUAAACUCCGAGUACUCGUGAUCAGGGACUGCGAUCUUAUCCAAAACAUCAAUGAGCUUACGGAUCUUAAAGGCCUACAUGUUCUUGAAGUCUCUGGUGCAAGUUCUCUGAAUAGUAUUCCUGAUGAUUUCUUCAAGAAAAUGAGUCAGCUUCAAAGUCUUAACCUUUCAGGUCUUGCUAUCAAAUCUUCGCCUUCCACAAUCGAAAACCUAAAAAUGCUCCGUUGCUUCAUCCUAAGAAACUGCUCUGAACUACAAGAUCUGCCUAACUUCAACGUAGCUACAAAAAAGCUAGAAGUUAUCGACAUACGUGGAGCUCGAAAACUCGAGUCUUACUUCGAUAGAGUUAAAGAUUGGAAAGACUAUAAAGGAAAGAACAAGAACUUCGCUCAUCUUCGGAAGCUCGAACACUUGGACUUCUCAGAGACUCAGAUCAUCCGCUUACCGAUAUUUCAUAUGAAAGACUUCAGCACGAUGCCAUCCUUGACACGACUCUUGCUACGUAACUGCACAAGGCUUAAGAGAUUGCCACAGCUUAAGCCCUUGACUAAUCUUCAGAUUCUUGAUGCCUCUGGUGCUACAAGCUUAGUGGAGAUGCUUGAAGUGUGUUUAGAGGAGAAGAAAGAGCUUAGGAUCCUUGAUCUUUCAAAGACAGUACUUCCAGAGUUAGCUGACACGAUCGCAGAUGUUGUUAAUCUCAAUCAGCUUAUACUAAGGAACUGUUCUCAGAUUGAAGAGCUUCCAAGCAUUGAGAAUCUGACGCACCUUGAGGUUUUCGACGUUUGUGGAUGCAAUAAGUUGAAGAAGAUAAAUGGAUCCUUUGGGAAGAUGUCUUACCUCCACAAAGUCAAUCUUUCGGAAACAAAUCUUGGUGAGUUACCUGACAAAAUCUCAGAGCUAUCUAACCUCAAGGAGCUCAUCAUAAGAAACUGUUGCAAGUUAAAGGCUCUUCCAAAUCUUGGAAAGAUGACAUAUCUUGAGAUCCUCGAUGUUUCGGGCUGCACCGAACUGGAGAAAAUCGAAGGAUCAUUCGAGGAUAUGAUUUAUCUUCUCGAGAUCAAUCUCUCAGGGACUAAACUAAAGACGUUUCCAGAGUUGCCAAAACAGAGCAUCUACAAUUCUUCAAAACGCAUUGUUCUCGCGAAUUCAUUUUGUUUAGAGCGAAAAGAGUGGAGCGAUAUAAAGGAAUGUUUAGAAACAAAUUCAGAUGGCUCUAUGUUCUCAAAUGUAGCUGAAGACAUUCACGAAAAAGGAGAGAAACUUGUUCAUCAAGGCGAUAGAUACAGAGUUCUUGAUCCUGAAGUUCCUUUGGGUAUAGAUAUCGUUGAUGUCAACAAACCAAUGAAUCUUGGUACAGAGUAUAUAGCCAAAGCAGAGUAUGUCUCUAUAACAGAGAAUGGAUCUAGAAGCGUAUCUUCCAUCUUCGACGAGUUUCAGAUGAGCUUAGUCAAAGGUUGUUGGGUAGAGAGGUGCAAGAACAUGAAUGUUCUCUUCGAAUCAGAUGAACAACAAGAGAAAGAGAAAUCAUCAUCAUCAUCAUCAUUGGAGAAUCUUUGGAUAUCAAAUCUUCCACUACUAAAAAGCUUGUACAGUAACAAAGGAGGAUUCAUCUUCAAGAACCUUAAGAAGCUAAGCAUAGAUUGUUGUCCAAGCAUCACAUCGCUAUUCUCCGAGAUUCCUGAUAACCUUGAGAUUCUACGAGUGAAGUUCUGUGAUAAGCUGGAGAGGUUGUUUGAAGUAGAAGUAGGAGAAUUAUCGAAGCUUCACAAGCUUCAGCUUCUUGAGUUGCCUGUUUUAUCCACCGUUGGAGCUAAACUCCCGAAUCUGGUGAAAUGCACGAUUGUGAAUUGUCCGAAUUUGAAAGUUGGAGAAGAUGAACAAAAGCUAGGAACAAGUGUAAAAGAAGAAAUUACAGAGGAAUAGCUUCACAAGUCUAUUGAUCUGAAACCCAAACUCCUACUCAGCCCACAGAAGAAGUUAUAAGAAAAGUAUAAAGAGACAAAGGGAACAAUGUCAUAUUUAUUCUUUCCUCAAAAAAAUUUCAAAUCGAUUUGAGUUCGUUUCAAGCAAUGAGUCUGUUCUGGCUAGGAAGAUAUCUUUCCACAGCAUGGAGGGGUAAGGAAUCGGCCUACAAGGGAAACGGGUGAAACUUCAGCCAAACCCUGCAGGUCCAACAACUCGGUGCAGCCCAAUGAUCACCGAUACAGAGCUAAAACUACAAACACGGUUGAUCCGCAAGUGGGUGUGACUCAGGUGGAGGAGCUGGAACAGGGACAAAUCCCGAAUCAGGUUGAGCAAGUGGCGGUCCAGACUGCAACUUUCGGGGUUCCACCAUUGAAGCGGGUCCGGAGACCCCUUUUUCAGGAACCAGAGAUAGCUUCACACUCUAGUCUUGUUGAUGAUGCAACUCUUGUAGGUGCAGAGUCACCAGCUGUGGAUACUGGUUUGGCCUCACAGACCACGGAUCCCGAUGCUGUGCCAUUGGCUUCAACCGAAGCAGCCCAUGAGGAUCAUUCGGUUCCAGCGGAUGAGACAGGUUCGAUACUGCGUCCGCAGGUCUCGGCAGCAGCAGGGAUAUUG
Camelina sativa (false flax) is the source of this 4025-nucleotide non-coding RNA. The record is from RefSeq and is a predicted model, not a curated record. NCBI's taxonomy places the organism in Eukaryota, Viridiplantae, Streptophyta, Magnoliopsida, Brassicales, Brassicaceae.